RNAcentral lists this ribosomal RNA (429 nucleotides) under Verrucomicrobiota bacterium. Its description in RNAcentral is "Verrucomicrobia bacterium partial 16S ribosomal RNA". It matches the Rfam family "Bacterial small subunit ribosomal RNA", at positions 355 to 776 of the family's 1533-position model. Lineage: Bacteria; Pseudomonadati; Verrucomicrobiota. The record is from RNAcentral.
UAGGGAAUCUUCGGCAAUGGGGGGAACCCUGACCGAGCAACGCCGCGUGAGUGAAGAAGGUUUUCGGAUCGUAAAGCUUUGUUGGUAAGGAAGAACGAGUGUGAGAAUGGAAAGUUCAUGCUGUGACGGUACUUAACCAGAAAGGGACGGCUAACUACGUGCCAGCAGCCGCGGUAAUACGUAGGUCCCGAGCGUUGUCCGGAUUUAUUGGGCGUAAAGCGAGCGCAGGCGGUUAGAAAAGUCUGAAGUGAAAGGCAGUGGCUCAACCAUUGUAGGCUUUGGAAACUGUUUAACUUGAGUGCAGAAGGGGAGAGUGGAAUUCCAUGUGUAGCGGUGAAAUGCGUAGAUAUAUGGAGGAACACCGGUGGCGAAGGCGGCUCUCUGGUCUGUAACUGACGCUGAGGCUCGAAAGCGUGGGGAGCGAACAGG